CUCAUGGUCGAGAGGGAAACAGCCCAGAGCAUCGACUAAGGCCCCUAAGCGUGUGCUAAGUGGGAAAGGAUGUGGAGUCGCAGAGACAACCAGGAGGUUGGCUUAGAAGCAGCCACCCUUGAAAGAGUGCGUAAUAGCUCACUGGUCAAGUGAUUCCGCGCCGACAAUGUAGCGGGGCUCAAGCACACCGCCGAAGUCAUGUCAUUGCGAUAUUACCCCCAACGGGGAUCGUGAUGGGUAGGGGAGCGUCGUGUGCCGGGUGAAGCAGCCGCGGAAGCGAGUUGUGGACGGUUCACGAGUGAGAAUGCAGGCAUGAGUAGCGAUACAAGAGUGGGAAACUCUUGCGCCGAUUGACUAAGGGUUCCUGGGUCAAGCUGAUCUGCCCAGGGUAAGUCGGGACCUAAGGCGAGGCCGACAGGCGUAGUCGAUGGACAACCGGUUGAUAUUCCGGUACCCGCUUUGAAGCGCCAAACAUUGAAUCAGGCGAUGCUAAGUCCGUGAAGCCGCCGUGGAUCCUUCGGGUGAAGCGGAGUGGUGGAGCCGACGGACCAGACUUGUAGUAGGUGAGUGAUGGGGUGACGCAGGAAGGUAGUCCAGCCCGGGCGGUGGUUGUCCCGGGGUAAGGGUGUAGGGCGCUGUCUAGGCAAAUCCGGACAGCUUGAAGCCUGAGACCUGAUGCCGAGCCGAUUGUGGUGAAGUGGAUGAUCCUAUGCUGUCGAGAAAAGCCUCUAGCGAGUUUCAUGGCGGCCCGUACCCUAAACCGACUCAGGUGGUCAGGUAGAGAAUACCGAGGCGUUCGGGUGAACUAUGGUUAAGGAACUCGGCAAAAUGCCCCCGUAACUUCGGGAGAAGGGGGGCCAUUUCCGGUGAUGRGAUUURCUCUCUGAGCUGGGGGUGGCCGCAGAGACCAGCGAGAAGCGACUGUUUACUAAAAACACAGGUCCGUGCGAAGCCGUAAGGCGAUGUAUACGGACUGACGCCUGCCCGGUGCUGGAACGUUAAGGGGACCGGUUAGUCAUGAUUCGUCGUGGCGAG
This 1035-nucleotide ribosomal RNA is filed under the name Streptomyces lydicus. Its description in RNAcentral is "partial 23S ribosomal RNA". Lineage: Bacteria; Bacillati; Actinomycetota; Actinomycetes; Kitasatosporales; Streptomycetaceae. The record is from RNAcentral.